GUACCUACGGGGGGCAGCAGUGGGGAAUAUUGCACAAUGGGGGGAACCCUGAUGCAGCAAUGCCGCGUGGGUGAAGAAGCACUCCGGUGCGUAAAGCCCUGUCAGCAGGGAAGAAAAUGACAGUACCUGACUAAGAAGCCCCGGCUAACUACGUGCCAGCAGCCGCGGCAAUAAGUAGGGGGCAAGCGUUAUCCGGAUUUAGUGGGUGGAAAGGGAGCGCAGGCGGUAUGGCAAGUAAGGUGUGAAAACCCAG
Molecule: ribosomal RNA, 253 nt
Filed under: uncultured bacterium
Lineage: Bacteria
Description: partial 16S ribosomal RNA
Rfam family: Bacterial small subunit ribosomal RNA
Source: RNAcentral